GAUCAUGGCUCAGAUUGAACGCUGCGGCAUGCCUUACACAUGCAAGUCGAACGGCAGCGGGCCUUCGGGUGCCGGCGAGUGGCGAACGGGUGAGUAAUGCAUCGGAACGUGCCAUUGAGUGGGGGAUAACGUAGCGAAAGUUGCGCUAAUACCGCAUAUUCUGUGAGCAGGAAAGCAGGGGACCGCAAGGCCUUGCGCUCUUUGAGCGGCCGAUGUCAGAUUAGCUAGUUGGUGAGGUAAAGGCUUACCAAGGCGACGAUCUGUAGCGGGUCUGAGAGGAUGAUCCGCCACACUGGAACUGAGACACGGUCCAGACUCCUACGGGAGGCAGCAGUGGGGAAUUUUGGACAAUGGGGGCAACCCUGAUCCAGCCAUGCCGCGUGAGUGAAGAAGGCCUUCGGGUUGUAAAGCUCUUUCGGCCGGGAAGAAAUCGCAUGGGUGAAUACCCUGUGUGGAUGACGGUACCGGAACAAGAAGCACCGGCUAACUACGUG
This 494-nucleotide ribosomal RNA is filed under the name uncultured bacterium. RNAcentral's name for it is "bacterial SSU rRNA". It matches the Rfam family "Bacterial small subunit ribosomal RNA", at positions 15 to 507 of the family's 1533-position model. The record is from RNAcentral.